UCUCUCUCUCUCUCUCUCUCUCUCUCUCUCUCUCUCUCUCUCUCGAUUCCCUGGCCCCCUGCUGCUGCUUCUUUUCUGAUCCCAGUGUUCUGUGCUUUCUUGUGCUCACGUGAUUGGAUCUCAUGAACCCAUCUACACAACCCAAGAGCCUCAAGUAGUUGAGGGCCUGCUACCUUCAUCACAUUUGCAAAGUCACUUUUGUGACACUGUGCAAUCUAGUUAGCAGACCCAGAGGAUUGGGGCCCAGACAUCCCUGAGGAGCUUUUCACUUGCCUGCUGUGGAUGGCCGGAUUACAUCCGCUGAGUCAUGAAGAAGGGCUCUUUGGGAAAGGGAGGGGAACAUAGAAAACCGUGGAGUGAGAAGCCGUCCCUGAGAGGCAAAGAGAACAAUCAGCCUUCCUCCAAACAAUGAGCUGUGCAUGCAAGCCCUUGGACAGAGAAAGACUUCAAGGAGACGUGGGCAGCUUCGGACGACAGAGACACUGGGGUCAGUUCUGCAUGGGGAUUGCUGUCAUAACGUUUCACACGCUUGCGCUCCCUCUUCCCACGAGCUGUUACAGCAUCGAGCCGGACACCUCCCACAAGUAACUUUCAUUUGCUAACCCUCAUGCCUCCCGCAAAGCGCUAGUCUAUCACAUGAAUGAGAUGGAGACCCGCGAUGUGGACAUUCCUUCAGAGAGGAAACCUGUUAACCCCGGGAUGCUUUGUAAGAUGCCUUUAAAACUUGGCAGUGUAUCUCCCUAGCUUUCCAUGCCUAUUUAUACGCUUCCUCAAUGUUAUUUUUAAUGGGGUCAGCACACAGAAGUUGGGUUCCUGAGGAGGCCAAGGAGGCCGCUCUUGCUGUCAGCUGAACUUCAUGACGUGUAAUGGUCACCCAGGUGGUGCUAGUUUUGAAAGCAUGAAGGGAUCAUGGAGAGCAGGCUUGGCACUAUGGGGCAGGGCUGGAGUCCCUGAAGGGAGCCUGUGAGAGGCUAUUGGUAAAAGUGCAGCCCAGUUGCCACAGAGACCCCAGCAUUUUGAAGAUGCCAGUGUCAUGGGAUGACCACCAAGAACAGCAGCAGUAUACAUAAAGUAAAAAUAAAUCAUUUUUAAAAAGAA
Molecule: long non-coding RNA, 1098 nt
Organism: Mesocricetus auratus (golden hamster)
Lineage: Eukaryota; Metazoa; Chordata; Mammalia; Rodentia; Cricetidae
Exons: 2
Source: RefSeq, a predicted model, not a curated record